GACGAACGCUGGCGGCGUGCUUAACACAUGCAAGUCGAACGGUGCUGCCCCUUUUUUUUUGGUGGGUGUGGAUGGGUGGCGGAUGGGUGACUCACACGUGAGUAACCUGCCACUUUUUUCUGACUAACUGCAUGAAAGUGUGGCUAAUACGGGUUUUUCUGUGUCUGUCGCUUUGUCGGUGUGGGAUUCAUUUUUGUUGGGUUGGGGUGGGGGUUGGGCCCGCUGCCUUUCAGCUUGUUGGUGGGGUGAUGGCCUGCCAAGGCGGUGACGGGUAGCCGGCCUGAGAGGGUGGACGGUCACACUGGGACUGAGACACGGCCCAGACUCCUACGGGAGGCAGCAGUGGGGGAUAUUGCACAAUGGGCGCAAGCCUGAUGCAGCGACGCCGCGUGAGGGAUGGAGGCCUGCGGGUUGUGAACCUCUUUCGCCGGUGAAGAAGGCCUGGCUCGUUGGUGUGGGGGUGGAGGUUAGCGGGAUAAGAAGCGCCGGCUAACUACGUG
RNAcentral lists this ribosomal RNA (500 nucleotides) under uncultured bacterium. RNAcentral's name for it is "partial 16S ribosomal RNA". It matches the Rfam family "Bacterial small subunit ribosomal RNA", at positions 28 to 507 of the family's 1533-position model. The record is from RNAcentral.